RNAcentral lists this ribosomal RNA (255 nucleotides) under uncultured bacterium. RNAcentral's name for it is "partial 16S ribosomal RNA". It matches the Rfam family "Bacterial small subunit ribosomal RNA", at positions 243 to 493 of the family's 1533-position model. The record is from RNAcentral.
AGCUAGUUGGUGAGGUAAUGGCUCACCAAGGCUACGAUCCGUAACUGGUCUGAGAGGAUGAUCCAGUCACACUGGAACUGAGACACGGUCCAGACUCCUACGGGAGGCAGCAGUGGGGAAUAUUGGACAAUGGGCGAAAGCCUGAUCCAGCCAUGCCGCGUGUGUGAAGAAGGUCUUCGGAUUGUAAAGCACUUUAAGUUGGGAGGAAGGGCAUAACCUAAUACGUUAGUGUUUGACGUACCGACAGAAAAGCCC